This 253-nucleotide ribosomal RNA is filed under the name uncultured bacterium. RNAcentral describes it as "partial 16S ribosomal RNA". It matches the Rfam family "Bacterial small subunit ribosomal RNA", at positions 524 to 776 of the family's 1533-position model. The record is from RNAcentral.
GACGAACCGUGCAAACGUUGUUCGGAUUCACUGGGCUUAAAGGGCGCGUAGGCGGGUGGUCAAGUCAGGGGUGAAAUCUUUCAGCUCAACUGGAAAACAGCUUCUGAUACUGGCCAUCUUGAGGGAGGUAGGGGCAUGUGGAACUUCCGGUGGAGCGGUGAAAUGCGUAGAUAUCGGAAGGAACGCCGGUGGCGAAAGCGACGUGCUGGACCUUUUCUGACGCUGAGGCGCGAAAGCCAGGGGAGCAAACGGG